GGUAGUGGUAAUAAAAGGUACAGGUGACACUUAUAUGGAACUGGUCACACCAUGGACCACAUCAUUUCUUGGUCUAAUUUUAAAAGAACUCAGAGUGAAGAAGUACAUAAACCCUCCCUGUAGAAAGCUAUUAUUUCCCAAAAUAUCUUCAAAUUUGCUUACAACCACUCCCUCCUUUUCCUUGGCAUCAGAUUAACUUAAAUAGGUUUUUGCUUUUUAAACUCAUUUAAUAAUGCUGUGCCAGUUGUAGUAAAUAGGUAUCAAAGAAUUUAAGUGAUAAUGAAGUUACACUUGAGAGUUUCAACAACAACAACAACAACAAAAUAAUACUGUGGAGGCCGGGGACUGAUUAGUAAAGUAU
Herpailurus yagouaroundi (jaguarundi) is the source of this 361-nucleotide long non-coding RNA. RefSeq lists it as uncharacterized. The transcript is spliced from 2 exons. Lineage: Eukaryota; Metazoa; Chordata; Mammalia; Carnivora; Felidae. The record is from RefSeq and is a predicted model, not a curated record.